RNAcentral lists this ribosomal RNA (496 nucleotides) under uncultured bacterium. RNAcentral describes it as "partial 16S ribosomal RNA". It matches the Rfam family "Bacterial small subunit ribosomal RNA", at positions 29 to 523 of the family's 1533-position model. The record is from RNAcentral.
AUUGAACGCUGGCGGUAUGCCUUACACAUGCAAGUCGAACGGUAGAGGGGAAACCCUUGAGAGUGGCGAACGGGUGAGUAAUACAUCGGAACGUGCCCAGUCGUGGGGGAUAACGUAGCGAAAGCUACGCUAAUACCGCAUACGACCCGAGGGUGAAAGCGGGGGACUCGCAAGGGCCUCGCGCGAUUGGAGCGGCCGAUGGCAGAUUAGGUAGUUGGUGGGGUAAAGGCCCACCAAGCCUGCGAUCUGUAGCUGGUCUGAGAGGACGACCAGCCACACUGGGACUGAGACACGGCCCAGACUCCUACGGGGGGCAGCAGUGGGGAAUUUUGGACAAUGGGCGAAAGCCUGAUCCAGCCAUACCGCGUGCGGGAAGAAGGCCUUCGGGUUGUAAACCGCUUUUGUCAGGGAAGAAAUCUUCUGGGUUAAUACCUCGGGAGGAUGACGGUACCUGAAGAAUAAGCACCGGCUAACUACGUGCCAGCCGCCGCCGUAA